This 486-nucleotide ribosomal RNA is filed under the name uncultured bacterium. RNAcentral's name for it is "partial 16S ribosomal RNA". It matches the Rfam family "Bacterial small subunit ribosomal RNA", at positions 30 to 507 of the family's 1533-position model. The record is from RNAcentral.
AUUGAACGCUGGCGGCAUGCCUUACACAUGCAAGUCGAACGGCAGCACGGGUGCUUGCACCUGGUGGCGAGUGGCGAACGGGUGAGUAAUACAUCGGAACAUGUCCUGUAGUGGGGGAUAGCCCGGCGAAAGCCGGAUUAAUACCGCAUACGAUCCACGGAUGAAAGCGGGGGACCUUCGGGCCUCGCGCUUUAGGGUUGGCCGAUGGCUGAUUAGCUAGUUGGUGGGGUAAAGGCCUACCAAGGCGACGAUCAGUAGCUGGUCUGAGAGGACGACCAGCCACACUGGGACUGAGACACGGCCCAGACUCCUACGGGAGGCAGCAGUGGGGAAUUUUGGACAAUGGGCGAAAGCCUGAUCCAGCAAUGCCGCGUGUGUGAAGAAGGCCUUCGGGUUGUAAAGCACUUUUGUCCGGAAAGAAAUCCUUGACUCUAAUACAGUCGGGGGAUGACGGUACCGGAAGAAUAAGCACCGGCUAACUACGUG